AUUUGGAUUAAUACCACAUGGUACUAUAUUACGGCAUCGUAUUUAUAGUUAAAGGUUACGGUAGGGGAUGAGUAUGCGUCCCAUUAGUUAGUUGGCGAGGUAACGGCUCACCAAGACCGCGAUGGGUAGGGGCCCUGAGAGGGGGAUCCCCCACACUGGUACUGAGACACGGACCAGACUCCUACGGGAGGCAGCAGUGAGGAAUAUUGGACAAUGGACGAGAGUCUGAUCCAGCCAUGCCGCGUGCAGGAAGAAUGCCCUAUGGGUAGUAAACUGCUUUUAUACGGGNAGAANNNGGGCUACGUGUAGCCCACUGACGGUACCGUAAGAAUAAGGACCGGCUAACUCCGUGCCAGCAGCCGCGGUAAUACGGAGGGUCCGAGCGUUAUCCGGAAUUAUUGGGUUUAAAGGGUCCGUANGCGGGCUGAUAAGUCAGUGGUGAAAGUUUGCAGCUCANCUGUAAAAUUGCCUUUGAUACUGUUAGUCUUGAGUUAUAGUGAAGUUGCCGGANUAUGUAGUGUAGCGGUGAAAUGCAUAGAUAUUACAUAGAACACCGAUUGCGAANGCANGUGACUAACUAUAUACUGACGCUGAUGGACNANNGCG
This 606-nucleotide ribosomal RNA is filed under the name Zobellia sp. WH009065c. RNAcentral describes it as "bacterial SSU rRNA". It matches the Rfam family "Bacterial small subunit ribosomal RNA", at positions 156 to 761 of the family's 1533-position model. Lineage: Bacteria; Pseudomonadati; Bacteroidota; Flavobacteriia; Flavobacteriales; Flavobacteriaceae. The record is from RNAcentral.